RNAcentral lists this ribosomal RNA (750 nucleotides) under Lactobacillus acidophilus. RNAcentral's name for it is "bacterial SSU rRNA". It matches the Rfam family "Bacterial small subunit ribosomal RNA", at positions 59 to 776 of the family's 1533-position model. The record is from RNAcentral. Lineage: Bacteria; Bacillati; Bacillota; Bacilli; Lactobacillales; Lactobacillaceae.
AAGUCGAGCGAGCUGAACCAACAGAUUCACUUCGGUGAUGACGUUGGGAACGCGAGCGGCGGAUGGGUGAGUAACACGUGGGGAACCUGCCCCAUAGUCUGGGAUACCACUUGGAAACAGGUGCUAAUACCGGAUAAGAAAGCAGAUCGCAUGAUCAGCUUAUAAAAGGCGGCGUAAGCUGUCGCUAUGGGAUGGCCCCGCGGUGCAUUAGCUAGUUGGUAGGGUAACGGCCUACCAAGGCAAUGAUGCAUAGCCGAGUUGAGAGACUGAUCGGCCACAUUGGGACUGAGACACGGCCCAAACUCCUACGGGAGGCAGCAGUAGGGAAUCUUCCACAAUGGACGAAAGUCUGAUGGAGCAACGCCGCGUGAGUGAAGAAGGUUUUCGGAUCGUAAAGCUCUGUUGUUGGUGAAGAAGGAUAGAGGUAGUAACUGGCCUUUAUUUGACGGUAAUCAACCAGAAAGUCACGGCUAACUACGUGCCAGCAGCCGCGGUAAUACGUAGGUGGCAAGCGUUGUCCGGAUUUAUUGGGCGUAAAGCGAGCGCAGGCGGAAGAAUAAGUCUGAUGUGAAAGCCCUCGGCUUAACCGAGGAACUGCAUCGGAAACUGUUUUUCUUGAGUGCAGAAGAGGAGAGUGGAACUCCAUGUGUAGCGGUGGAAUGCGUAGAUAUAUGGAAGAACACCAGUGGCGAAGGCGGCUCUCUGGUCUGCAACUGACGCUGAGGCUCGAAAGCAUGGGUAGCGAACAGG